This 346-nucleotide ribosomal RNA is filed under the name uncultured eukaryote. RNAcentral's name for it is "SSU rRNA". It matches the Rfam family "Eukaryotic small subunit ribosomal RNA", at positions 594 to 945 of the family's 1831-position model. The record is from RNAcentral.
GUAGCGUAUAUUAAAGUUGUUGCAGUUAAAAAGCUCGUAGUCGAACUUCGGAUCUGGCGGGAUGGUCCGCCUUACGGUGUGUACUGUCCGGCCGGAUCUUACCUCUUGGUGAAGCCGUAUGCCCUUUACUGGGUGUGCGGUGGAACCAGGAAUUUUACUUUGAGAAAAUUAGAGUGUUCAAAGCAGGCAUACGCCCGAAUACAUUAGCAUGGAAUAAUAAAAUAGGACGUGCGGUUCUAUUUUGUUGGUUUCUAGAGUCGCCGUAAUGAUUAAUAGGGAUAGUUGGGGGCAUUUGUAUUGCGUUGCUAGAGGUGAAAUUCUGGGAUUUACGCAAGACAAACUAUUG